This 171-nucleotide ribosomal RNA is filed under the name uncultured Sphingobium sp. RNAcentral's name for it is "partial 16S ribosomal RNA". It matches the Rfam family "Bacterial small subunit ribosomal RNA", at positions 337 to 525 of the family's 1533-position model. The record is from RNAcentral. Lineage: Bacteria; Pseudomonadati; Pseudomonadota; Alphaproteobacteria; Sphingomonadales; Sphingobiaceae.
UCCUACGGGAGGCAGCAGUAGGGAAUGUUGGACAAUGGGCGAAAGCCUGAUCCAGCAAUGCCGCGUGAGUGAUGAAGGCCUUAGGGUUGUAAAGCUCUUUUACCCGGGAUGAUAAUGACAGUACCGGGAGAAUAAGCUCCGGCUAACUCCGUGCCAGCAGCCGCGGUAAUA